Molecule: unclassified non-coding RNA, 281 nt
Filed under: Melitaea cinxia (Glanville fritillary)
Lineage: Eukaryota; Metazoa; Arthropoda; Insecta; Lepidoptera; Nymphalidae
Description: misc RNA ENSMCXG00005001759.1
Source: RNAcentral
CUCGACUAUCUUUCGUCUCCAUCAUCAGACUUUAAUGGCACUUGUAACUCAUAUAGGUGCAAAGUUCACAUCAAUAGAAACGAAUUAAGUUCAAACAGCAGGUAAUUGCUAUAAGUCGUUAAAGAGUACCCUCGACUAUCUUUCGUCUCCAUCAUCAGACUGAAAUGGCACUUAUAACUCAUAUACAUGCAAAGUUCUGAUCAAUAGAAACGAAUUAAAUUCAAACAGCAGGUAAUUGCUAUAAAUUGUUGAAGAGUUCCCUCGACUAUCUUUCUUCUCCA